Molecule: ribosomal RNA, 424 nt
Filed under: Hyalinobatrachium cappellei group sp. ABGD cluster 5
Lineage: Eukaryota; Metazoa; Chordata; Amphibia; Anura; Centrolenidae
Description: partial large subunit ribosomal RNA
Rfam family: Bacterial large subunit ribosomal RNA
Source: RNAcentral
CUUGAAUAAGCAUAAGAGGUCCAGCCUGCCCAGUGACCAUGUUCAACGGCCGCGGUAUCCUAACCGUGCGAAGGUAGCGUAAUCACUUGUUCUUUAAAUAAGGACUAGUAUGAACGGCAUCACGAAGGUUACACUGUCUCCUCUUUCUAAUCAGUGAAACUAAUCUCCUCGUGAAGAAACGAGGAUAAACAUAUAAGACGAGAAGACCCUAUGGAGCUUCAAACUAUAAAGCACCUGCCCCAGUAUUACUUAAUUCCAGAAAACCACACCUACCCAGGCAAGAUGACCCUUAGUUUUAGGUUGGGGUGACCGCGGAGCAAAAAAAAACCUCCACAUUGAAAGGAGCCAACUCCUUAGCCAAGAGCCACACCUCUAAGCACCAACAAAAAGACAUAAAUUGACCCAAUAUUUUUGAUCAACGAAC